AGUGAACGCUGGCGGUAGGCCUAACACAUGCAAGUCGAACGGCAGCACAGUAAGAGCUUGCUCUUACGGGUGGCGAGUGGCGGACGGGUGAGGAAUACAUCGGAAUCUACUUUUUCGUGGGGGAUAACGUAGGGAAACUUACGCUAAUACCGCAUACGACCUACGGGUGAAAGCAGGGGAUCUUCGGACCUUGCGCGAUUGAAUGAGCCGAUGUCGGAUUAGCUAGUUGGCGGGGUAAAGGCCCACCAAGGCGACGAUCCGUAGCUGGUCUGAGAGGAUGAUCGGCCACACUGGAACUGAGACACGGUCCAGAGUCCUACGGGAGGCAGCAGUGGGGAAUAUUGGACAGUGGGCGCAAGCCUGAUCCAGCCAUACCGCGUGGGUGAAGAAGGCCUUCGGGUUGUAAAGCCCUUUUGUUGGGAAAGAAAAGCAGCAGGUUAAUACCCCGCUGUUCUGACGGUACCCAAAGAAUAAGCACCGGCUAACUUCGUG
This 492-nucleotide ribosomal RNA is filed under the name uncultured bacterium. RNAcentral's name for it is "partial 16S ribosomal RNA". It matches the Rfam family "Bacterial small subunit ribosomal RNA", at positions 29 to 507 of the family's 1533-position model. The record is from RNAcentral.